Molecule: unclassified non-coding RNA, 1754 nt
Filed under: Hevea brasiliensis (rubber tree)
Lineage: Eukaryota; Viridiplantae; Streptophyta; Magnoliopsida; Malpighiales; Euphorbiaceae
Source: RNAcentral
AGUCAAACUGAUAACCUUCUCGAACAAAUAAAUCACGGAAAAGCCUUUUCAAAUAGGAAUAAUCUGGUUUGUCUUCAAAACGCAAUGAUCGACAAUAAUGGAAGUAUGAUAUGAACUCUGAUGGAUAUGAUUUGCAAAGAACCUCAACAGGAGUUAACAUCUUCUUUUCACUGAUUUUAUCAUAUUUUUGCUUCUUUGUCCCUGCUUUAAGGCCCUGCCAGGGAAGACUGAAACCAAUGGUGCACAAACUAAGAAGAUGCAGUGAAUGAACAACCUCUCAUUGUUCAAUAAAAAAAAGCUUCAGAAGAAAAAUUAAAUAAGUCUAAGAUAACAGCUAUUAUAUUUUUUAACCUUCCCCUUAGGAAAUACAUGAGCACAUAACCAAGAGAUUCCAAGUCAUCUCUUCUGCUUUGUUCUGCAGACAGCCAAAAACAGUUAAAUUGCAACUUGAUACACCAAAAAAAAAGAAAAAAAAAUCUGAAAUUCUUUGUCCAGUAAUUAACAUUCAAUAACCAAAAUAGUAGUUUACCCACCAACUCCAAGGUGAGUGUUCACACUAGCAUAUCGUGCUGUGCCAGUGAGAUUCUUAUUUUCCCUGUAAGGUAUAUGCUUAUGUGUUUGAAGAUCCCUAUACUUUUUUGCAAGCCCAUAGUCAAUGAUGUAAACCUGAUUGGCUUUACGACCUAAACCCAUUAGAAAGUUGUCAGGCUUUAUAUCACGAUGAAGAAAACCUUUUGAGUGCAUAUACUCGAUUCUGUUAAUCAAUUGAUCUGCAAGCAUCAACACUGUUUUCAAAGAGAACUUCCUGUUGCAGUAGUUAAACAAGUCUUCAAGACUCGGCCCUAGAAGGUCAAUGACCAUGACAUUGUACUCACCCUCAACACCAAACCACUUGAGUUGAGGAAUUCCCGUUCCUCCUUGAAGUAGCAUGUAAAUUUUAGAUUCAUAGUGAAGCUGAGGGUGCUUGGUCCUUGCAGGUUCCAGCUUUAUACCAACUUCCUCUCCAUUCUGUACAUUAACCCCAAGAAAUAGCUCGCCAAAGGAUCCACCACCGAUCUUCCGACCCAUUUUGAACUUCCCCCCAACUAUAUGAUCCAUGACUAAACUUGAUUUGUACACCCAAUUGUGGAUUAAAAGAAAAAAAAGAAAAUUAAAGAACCUUAUUAUUUCAACACUCAAAAUCCAAAAAUCUCUUUUGAGUGGCAAAAUUUUGGAAGAAAAUUAUCACUCAGCUUUAAUUAUUUCAACAACAACAAACAAACAAAAAAAAAAUCUUAAUAAUGCAGUAUUAAUUCAAAACCAACUUGAUGAAUAUACAAACAUAUUAACAAAAAAAAUUCACAAACCAACAAAGGAUUUGCCCCACAAAUGAAAUAAAUGGAGAUCAAAACCCUGAAUAAUUAUAAAGAAGAACAUGGAAGCACAUUCCAUAAAAAUCAUAAAAUAAAAAUUCAAGAAAAUACAAAAUUCGCCAAAUUCAAUAAAAUUUUCAAGAAAUUAAAUCAAAUCGAAAGAAAAUACUGGAUGGAGAAGACAGUUCAUAAAAGAUACGAGAAAAGGAGUUCUGCAGAAAUGUUUUUUCGUUUGAUGCUUUUGAUUUCAAAUAAAAGAAAACAGAAGAAAAAAACAGUGUUUUGUUAAAACAACGAAAGCAGUUUCCUUGCUUUCUUUCUCUCCCUUCAAUUUUCCUGCUUUAGUCUUUUCUUCUAUCCAUUUUGACACUGUAAUUUCUCUCCCUCUCUCUCUCAUUCGCG